Long non-coding RNA from Siniperca chuatsi (mandarin fish), 13764 nucleotides. RefSeq lists it as uncharacterized. The transcript is spliced from 2 exons. The record is from RefSeq and is a predicted model, not a curated record. NCBI's taxonomy places the organism in Eukaryota, Metazoa, Chordata, Actinopteri, Centrarchiformes, Sinipercidae.
UUGAGGGUAGUACCUUCAAUGGCAGAAAUAAACUACUGCAAGUCACCCCUGUUGACCACUGAGACACUAACAGGCUCUUUGCUGGAAUGACAUCUGAACCUGCCAGGGACAUGAACCUGCCAGGGCUUCCAGCAGGUGCCAGAACCUGACACCUCCUGAAGGCACUGGGAGCAAAGUGGUUGGUGGUGAUGCUGAUGGUGGGGGCUUUUGGGCUUUAUGUUGGAGGAAUAGUAACAUGAUGCUGGAGUCCCCUGCCUUUUCCCACAGUGGCCCUGAACCACCACUCUGCGGCUCCACUGGCUAACUAACGGCUCACUUGACUGUGGUUACAGGAAGCCCAUUGUUGGGAAGGACAGAAUUCAGGGGGGAAGUGGUGUAAUCCUGGCUCUGUCCUGGAUCAGUCAGUUUGGAUUUCACACAGGCCCCACGAUCAGGCCCAGUGCAGCCAAAGGCCCCUGGACACUGAGUUCCUUAGGAAACAGGCAAACACCUUUUACCUCACAGUGGCAUCAUAAAAAGAAGCCACAUGCCUUAAGAAAACAUAGACUAUUACUUUCUCUUUCAUCUGUACUGUUUUAUUAAAAGUUGAAAUGUGAAGUCACAGGAUACUGCACAUUCAAAUAAUGAAUUAUUAUGUUUAAAGUAUCCAUUUACAUCUUUGCCACUUAACUGUUUAGUCAUACUUUCUCCUCAUAAUUAUCUAAAUAGUCUUCUACCAAAUUACUAAAAUAAUACAAACAGUAUUAUGAUGUUUCUUUGAUACUUGUUAUUGUACUUGAUUCAUACUCUCCUCUCGAGAUGAUGAAUCCCAACACAGUAGAUACAUAGGCUACAUACUAUGGAUGGUGUAUCGUAGAGUUUAUGUCCACCAGGUGUCUUUCUGAGUGUCUUUUAAUUUUAUUCAGUUUUACAUAGGAGAGGCAUCUGUCUGUAUUACUUUUUACAAACCGACCACAGCAGCGGAUGUAAGAGUUUAAAGCUAGCUGACAUUGUUAACAAUGGCAGAAAAAUAGAAAAAACUUUUUUAAUCCCUAUAUUUCCCUACGGUAGCAUAGUACUGGCAACACAACCUGCUCGUCAAUCCAACAGCGAGAAUAUGACCAAUAUAAUGACAAAUACAAGCACCCAGACACUUAUCCAUUGUGCACUAUCCCUCUUUUCUUAUCUCACUAUGUCACAACUGGACACAACCCACCCAAAGUGAAACGCACAGCGCAUCAAACAGCAUUUGUGAGUGUUUAUCAUUGUCCUCAUCUGCCAUGCCUUUAUAUCCUGCUGGUCAGUCUGGUGACGAAUAUAAAGGUUAACCACCCCCUGUGACAAAAUGGAAACAUUCUUUUGCAAGUCUUACUUCUGAGCACCUCUCAGCAGUAUCUGACAAAUUGCGGGGUGCCUCAAUUGUUUCUUCAGUCUUCCAAAUGAUUUCAGCCUUCAGAUUAACUGUGAAGAGAACUAUCUGAGCUCAAAACUGCUAUUUUUCAUCAGUACAGUAGGUGGCUUGGAAAGGGCAAUAAAGUUGUGUCCAAUGUGAGUCAUGUUGUCUUUCAUUCAAUUAGACAAACUCUAGCCCACACAAAUGACAUUGAAAUAAAUUGAUGUAAUGACAAGAAUUCAUGCCUUGCAACAGUGAGAGGUGAAAAUCCACCCCUGCAAUUUCAGGCUUUGCACUUGGCAUGGCAUGUAAUGUGAUCUCAGUUGAGUCUGAGGAAAACACAUUCUUUUUUCUCUCUGUUUUACAUACAAGUGUAAGAGUAUGUAAGGCAUUUGUAGUUAUUUCAGGAGACACAGAGAGAGAGCUGCAGGGGUUGCUGGUUCAUUCUCCACCUAUGCUAUGGAGAGCAGAUAAUUGCUCCAUGGCCAGAAGGCUUUGAUUGGCUGGCUAGUUAGUGAUCAGAGCAGCGAGAUGUUUGGCUCUCUGUGGACACCAGAAACUCUGUAACAUAUGGCAGAGAGAAGUGGGCGGAAGGUUUUUUAAGUUGCUCUAAUCCUCAUUUUCUUUAUGACCUCUUACAUGGGUUACAAUGUCAUGUAAUGCCAUACAAUUUUAAGUUGGCCAUGGAUAUUUCUAGCACUUGUGAGAAUUGAAAAUGCAAGUAUAGAUUUGACCACAAGCAUGCACCACGUGUCAGGCAUCCAACUUAAAACUGUUUCAGAUAGAUUCAAGUUCUAAAAAACUUAACAGCAUGAAAUCUCUUCAAACAACAUAUUAUGUGCUUCAAUGUAUUAUCCAGCCUUUUUCAGCGAGACGUUUUGCCAGAACACUCGUUUGGAUUGUUUGAAAAGUCAGCAGCUUUAAAGCUUGGCAUAAAUGAUUACAAUUUUCAGGCUUCCAUUUUAUCUGCCUCUUUUCAUGCAUAAGCCACAGUAUGUGCAGCGACUUUAACAGCACUGACAAAGUAAAUAUACUGUUAAUAUGUACUGUAUAAACACCAUACACAAAAGGUUGGGUGAAGGGGAAUCUAAAUGGGACAGGUGUGAUGAUUAAUCAUUAUUUUUUUCAUCUAGGUCAUUACUUAGCUCAUACCUUUCAAACAGCUGUGCCAAUCACAGUGCUGGUUGAUGAAGAUGGGAGAGUGAGUGAGUGCAGACUGGCUUUUCUAAGUAGUAAAAUAAUAUUGUUGUCCAGGAGGUGCAGAAUGUCAAAGCAGAAACGUGGCACCAUAGAUAGACAGAGGUGCCUUUUGAAUUGAGUUUUAUGUUUGCAGAGAUAACAAAAGUCAGAUUUUUCACUUAUAAUUAUUGCAGUACAGAAAGACUAGAAUUUAAAAAGACAAUGAUCAAGCAACGGUAGCUCAACAAAUAUAUAAUGAUAAUAAUGUUGUUUGCUCUUAUUUUGUUUUACUUAAGUUUACAUUCUAUUAGAUUUGCCUCAAAUGGGCAAAGCCCUUUUCAAAGCACAGCAGUCUUUGCACCACCAGAAAAAAAAACCCUUAGCCUUUAUCAGACAAGUCCAUAAACAUUUGGACAGCGGGAUGACAUGUGACAUCGCACUUACUCUACAUGAUAUGUAUCUUAGCCAACUGAGCUACCAGAAUAUUUUGUGACAUUUAUUUUAUACUUGACUGAAGCUUAUCAGGGUCAAAUGCCUUCUGUGCAUCGGGUUGUUAAAAGGUGUUCACCAGCGUUUGCAUCCCUCUAUGGAGAUCCAGCUCUUUGUUAGAAAGAAAAUCCUUCCAAAAACCCCAGGGGGUCCUCAGUGUUAGUGAGCUUGAGGCUGCAAAGAAGACCUCUUUAACAUUACACACACACACACACACCACACAUUGUUAAAACAGUAUCAUGUUGUUGUGGACCCCUUUGUCCCCUCUCUUUGCCCCGUCUGUAAAGAAAUUUGGGUUGAUGUUUGUGAUGGCAGGGAUCCCUCUCAACAAACAAUGUCGAGAUUGAAAAGAGGAUUCUUCCUCUUUUCACUCUGGAGCCUUCUAGUCCGCUGCAAGUUUACAUGACCCUUCAACUCCUCUCUACACAAGCUGUUGAGUUUUGUUCAACAGCUUCUGUUUGGGCAUAUAAGGAGGCAUUGUUGCCCUGGUCACAGCAGAGGGAUGCUGAGUUUAGGAGUUUACGUAAGAAGGCCUUUCUAACUGGCUCAGCCUUGCAGUCUCUUGACAGAUCAUGUGAAAGAUACCAGGCCACAACAACAACACUUUAUGUGGCAACAUGCAGGAAAAUAUUUUUGCCUGCCAUUUGAAUAAACACAAAAUACGUAUUUGAGAAAAGAUGUCCUUGAUGUUAGUACAACUGCACACUGGCUUGUCAUAAACAAAAUUUUUAUUUAAAAAAUCUACUUUUUUUCUCCAAACUUGUUUUAGAAUGUUUUUAUGUAAUUUAUAUCCUCUAAAUUGUCAACACACCCUGUCCUGUCUGUCAAUUUUUUGCCAGACUGAUGUUGAGUUGUUUACUCAAGCACAUCAACUCACUUUUCACUUAAACUGAAUGAGCUUUCUGCAUCUACAAUAUUUCACGAAGCCUGUUCGGCAAUGUUGGAUGUGUCCAUCACUGCAUUUCUUGUUCAAGGAAGACAAGACAAUGGAUUUAUUAGGGAGACAGAUGAACUUCUUUUCAAAUCCCAUCAUUCUCUUGAGUGUCUAAAACCUAGACAGUUGAUGUGCAUAUGACAGCUGUCACAUUCAUCACAGUCUAGUCACAAACAAGCAGGAACACGUAGGCCGUUGUGUCUGAAAAUUCACAGUGCAACAUAGCUUUCAGUAAAGUGUAGCCUGCCAUCAGGGCUCUGUGUAGGAUCAUGAAACACUUGGCAUUUUGACUUGUGCCUUGUGAUUUAUCUUGCCUUGAGACAUAAUUUGGUCUGAGCCCGCAGCGAAAUAUAUACUUGGAUAAAUGCUAUGGCUUUGAGUUGAAAUAAACAAAUCCCUAAUGCCCUAUCAAUGUCCUUCCUGUUGGAAACAGAAUAACUCCUUUCACUUACCAAAAGGAAUAUAUAUCAUCAGAUAAAUGCUCCCUAGAAAUAGGAAACCAGGGACAGGCUUAACCACUUCUAAGCCCUGCUUCCCCAUAGACUUGUGUUUAUGAUAAAGGGUAAUGAAUGGAAAGUGGGUUUUAUCAGUGAAAGAUGGAGGAAUGGUUAGCUUGAGUGAUGCUUUUUGUCCCACAUGGCACAAUCAAGGCCUAUUUUUGAAGUAUACUCCCUCGUGUCUUUGUAGACCAAUUUUUGUGGAUAUUGGCUGUGGGAUUUUGCCGGCCCUGCUGUACAGUAUAGUAUGAAGGGCAGUCCAGUUAUCUGAAGAUACAGCAGAAUUGCUUGUCAUGCAAAUCACAAAGACAACUACUUUUAUAUAGUUUAACAUUCAGGAAACUUUAAAUGUGUUGCCUGGCAGUUAUAUCCUACAGUUCAAUUCACUUGGUUUGGUUGCACAGAAUUAAAUCUUGUAUGUCAACAGCUUUGCUGCAGUUGUCUCUUUGUCUGUGGUCUCAAUAACUUUCUUCCUAUAUAAAUAGAAAUUAAAGAAGGGCAGAGAUAAAGCUAUCUCUUUCAUAAGUUGUCUUUUCAUAAAUGCUGUAGGUUCAGGUUUUUAAAUGGUCCGUUUACAAGGAUGUUUGUUCCAUAUUCGGUGUGUUCGUACCACAGCGACAUCUCAUCACAUGCCUGUCUGCUUGAUUUCUUCUCUGUCUUGUCUUCUCGCCUGUCUUUUUCUUUUAAGCUGUCCUCUGUCUCCUUGCUCCUGAUCAGACCUGGCAUUGAGUUGAUUCAAAUAAGGCUGCUCAGUGGGCAUGGACACUCCUAUCGUCUAGAUUGGAUCACCGUCAGGAGAGGGUUUUCCCAUUGAGCUGACAAAUUAAUGAGCAGGCUCAACCUUCUCUGCAAUGAUUUCUUCUAUAUGAGUAUCAGUGAAAACAUUUGGUCUUCCAGAGUGCAGCCUAAUGCUGGGCAUUAGUGAGUUAAACAAUUCUCAUCUGUUUUAAUCUGUGCUUCUAACGGAGAAAACAAAUAAUAAAAGGUUACUGCUGAUCAAUAGCCUACACAAACUCAACCCAUCUGUCCGUAAGAUUAAUAAAUUAUGGUUUCAUUCAAAGAGAAGGGAUAGACUUUCCAGUUUUGGUGAUAUAUUUUGCUCUUGCUUAUUAACACCUUGUGUUGUCCAUGAACAGGCCUGUUUUUUCAUCAAGCCCUAAUUGACUGGAGGAUAUUGCUGAAGUGUAUUAUCAAUCUCUAUCUGUUUUGUGUGGAAGGACAUUGAUCAAUGGAAAUAGCUUUCCUCUGCUGACUGAAUUGGACAGUGUUGCCGGCCACUGCUCGGGCCACGUAAUGGAGCAUAUGAGAGCCAAGCCACCAGAUCAAUAAAGCAUUGAAAUAAGAAGAUGAAAUUCCCUUUUUCCUCAAUGAUUACAGGCUCAAUGGCUGAAUUUGUUAGAUUUCAAAAACUUUUUAUUUUCCUUUUGGUGUAAAAAUUAUUCUCUGAAAAAAAGGGCCAAACAACCAUCUCAAAGAUUUUUCUCUCCCUUCUCAGCCUCAAGCCCAUUAAAAUUCCUCUGAAGUUUUUUACAUAUCACUACAUCAAGUACACAUAAAUUAUGAAUGUCUCAUAUAGCAGCCUUGCACUUGUAGCCCCCGGGUUCCCUUGAAACUGAUUUGGUGUCUAUGAACUUUGUUGUUACAAGGCCCAGAGAAAAUUGGAGUAAUGUGCUCUCUCUGUGAUUCAUCAUUCACAGCUCAUAAUGCAGAACAUGCCAUAAUAAACAUCUCCACCUUCAUGUAUUACUUUGAGAUUGUGUUUGUUUCACCAUUAAUGAAUUUACUGUCAUAAGUCGGUUUUAAUAUGUAUGCAUGAGAAUGACUUUGUCUUAAUAGGGCUACAUGUUUCGAUACCCAGCAGGGAUGACAUAUGCUUAUUUCAGACAUCACAGGCAGACUGGGAUUUUCUUCAAGAUGCAGAAGGGUUUGGAGGUCAGCUGAGUGCACAUGUUCUGGUUAUCUUUUUGCAACAGUAAUCAUUUUCAGCACUAUUACUUUAAAUAGAGUGAGACCUCUAAUUGGCUCUGAUGUAUUUAGGGAAUCGCACCAACCAGUGUCUGCCAUCUUUGUUAUCAUAGUGUGGGAACAGAUGAGAGAGAGAAACAGAGUAAACUUAUAUUCAUAAGUUUCCAGACUUUAAACUUGGAGUACAAGUUGUGCUUUUAGGGGAAAGAGUAGAAAAGUAAUAUUUAACACAAAGGGACACAACUUUAAACAACAAUCAACAUUACCAUUAACAACAGGUAAUUAAACCUGUGAUAUCAUCCAUAUGUUUCUGAUGGGAUGCUUAAGAGCUUGGUAUUGGUACCUUGGUGAGUACCCCGUGCUACCAUCUUUUGUCAAUUACUAUAACCAGAAAAUCCAAAUUUGGCAAACAAUAUGGGGCUUGAAAGUAGAUGUUGGCUAAGCAACCAACAUGAGCCACCACAGCUAAGAUAGCCCGAAAUACCUGUCCCAAAACAUCAUUUGAUUUGAGCUUUUACAACCCCUUUAUAGGACAAAAAACUUUUAAAAUUGCUACCAAUACCCACACUUCACUGCGGUCCUUUUUCUUGGAGCCAGCAUCCAGCAGCCAUUAGAGGAAAUGCUACUUGUGCUUGGCUUCAAUGUUUAACACUGGUUGAAAAAUGUCCUAAUGAUUUAGAUUAACAAAACAACAAAAACAAAAUGUGCUUCUUUCAAACUGGAAAGAACGGGCCCUGCAGUUUGUCAUCAUGACCAUACCCAUUCUUUGACCCUGCAAACAGUGUAAAAUGAGCAAUAAUGAACAUUUUCUCAUUGCGUUACAUAGUCUAUCUUUAUAGUUUUUGACACCACUGUUCAGUGAAAUAUGUUGUAACUGUGCACAAUCACACUCAUAAUGUAGCAGCAAACAAAUUUGACAUCAGUUGACUCCAGUCUUGAAAAACAGGACAGAGAGAGAAGGAUCCUGGAGUAACGGGUGGUAGCAGCUGACAAUUACUAUUUCGUCUGCAUUUACUGUACAUUUGUCAAGAGUUUUAGUCUUGGGCUCGGCAUCAAGCUGUGUCUGUUUUGGCUUCCUGGAUAUGAUUUAUCCCCAUCAGUCCAGCUGAUGUUCCCCAGCUGUUUGUGUGACGGAUACUUUUGCACUGGCUCAUGCUGAAUAUGCUUUGCUUUUCAAGAGCAUCCAUCCCCACUGCUGCAGCACUCUUCGGCUUAUCCUGAUCCCCAGAACAUACAGGCAUAAACGCCUGUGUUUUUAGGCUCAGGCCUCUCCAACACACUACACCUCUUCCCCCCUUAGGGAAUAACAUAGUGUGAUAGAUAAGCUAUAAACAUCCAUACUCUUGUCUCCAUGGAUGCAAAUACUAAAAACCCAGAGCAUUUAAAAACCAAAAAGUAAGAAUUAGAUCAUGUUGUUUGAUAGUAUUUUUAGGCUGAAUGCAUUAUGCCAACAAGGUGCAGACUACAAGAAUGAAACCAUUAUAAAUCUUUUCAGAUCAAAUACAUAUUGUAUUAGUCAAAACACUAAAUGUAAGCUAUUAUUGUAUUCAGUGAUAGGUUUGUGUUGAGCAAACUUCGCUAGUGCUAUUUGAGUCACCUUUCUCUAAUUUUGUCAGCACAUUAGCUACUCGGGCUCAAGGACAUCUGACAGUCUGUUUUCACUCAUGACCUUAUUUAUAACUUAUUUACUACGCUCACACGUCCCUAGAGUUUCACUAAACUUGGAUUCCCAGGCUUUGAGAAAAGCACGCAGUGUGUCCUGGUGCCUGACUCACGUCUGUUCUAACCAUCCCCCCCUUCUAAACUUGUAACCAGCUGCACAUCAAAAGGAAUAUGAUUUAUUAGGGGUGCAACUCCCCAGGACUUUGAACGACCAUCGACUUGUUUAUCCAACUUAACAUUCUUGGCCAUAUCCAUAUAUAUUCUGUUUUCCCUUUCAUGUGGUUCUGCAGGGAUACAUCUACUGGCUGCUGGGGUUAUAGUCCACCUACAGUAAACGUAUGUUGGCUGCUUAUGUCACUCAUGAAGGAUUCGGGUUUGGGCCAUGGCAGUGACAUGGAUCAGUUCUGUAACUGUUCCUUGAAGGCAUUACAUAAUUGAUGUAUUUUCAUGGUGCUGCGGUUAGUUGAUGGCACACGGGGUGAUUCUGUUAAGAGCAGGCAUCAUUGACUCUUUUCCCUUGAAGCUGCCCAUCUUUUAGCCCUCAGAAUCCCUCAACCCUUUUUUCCCUGCCUCUCUCUGCAUCUCCCAAACGGAAAACAUGUGGCAGGAGUUGUCAUUUGUUAACGUAUAGUAGAAAGAGUGAAACAGGCCAGGGGAUGGCUCAUCAGGAACACUCAUUCAGGAUGAUGAAUGUAGCCAAAUACACAUUUGUCCGUAAAACUUGCAGUGUGGAUCAGCAUCAUUAGGCAUGAGGAAUAGGUGGAGCCCGCUGAGAAGUGAAUGCAGCAAACAGAUGUUGCAGAUUUUCACCAGCAUCUUUCAUCCAGAGUACCAUCAUUAAUAAAGUUGAAGGUGAUCCUUGUGUUUUCAUCUAAUAAAACCAAAUAAAGUAUGGUGGGAUUCUCGGAAAAUUGCUGAAUAAACUGAACAUCGCCAUGGCUUUUGAGCAAGGACCCAAGGUGCUCUGUUUGGUUUUGAAGUUAAGUUUUGGCUACAUGACACUGUAGUUAGGAUCCUGAGUGUAAAGUGUAUUAGCGCAUGCUUAUGAAGUCCUCAAAGGAGUAGAUUUCAGGAGAAAAAAAGCUGAGGUUAUACUAUGACAGACUUCAAAGGAAAAGUCAUAUUUUUUUGGUUAUGUUUUGUUAUAAGAAAAAGUGCAUAUAGUUAAAAUGCAAAGUUUACCUACAAGGCCACGCUUUUCAAUUCCAGACAACACUGAGAACAUGGAACUGGUUCUGUGAUAGAAACUGACAAUUGUGCUUUGGGUUGUACAACACUGUGUCAGUCUUUAGCUGGCCUGUGUGUUUUUCUGUGAGAUGCUGAAUGGUUGGAACUGAUACCAUGGGUAUGUCAGGUGACUGAGCCCCAUGUUCAAGCAGCUUGGCCCUGUUGUAGAGGGCCUCUAUCUUUGUCAGCCUUGUCUCAUCUUAUAAACAGGCCCAGACAGAGAAGCUUUACCAUGAAUAAUGCCUCAGGUCCGUAGAAUCUCAACACCUAUAAAUCUUAAUAGAGGUUCCCAGAUUCCAAUGGGCGGCCACAUCUCUUUCCCACCCUGCUCAGCUCUAUUCCACCCCCCAUGCGGAAUCUCCAAUUUUCUCUCCCAAAGUAAACCCACAGUGACUUGAAUUUGCCCAUGCCAUGAUUUACCUACAAACAGGAUUACAUGCAUAUAGCUCAUGCAAAUCAAUAAAAAAUGUCAAGAAUGCUUAGCCUCCUGCGGUUUGCUAAAUACAAUUUAUCACUCAGGGAAUCAGGGGAAGGGAAUGGGCUAACAAAUGGAGUCUGAUCAUUUGCAUUGGACCUGUUGUCAAAUACUUGAAGAGUGCAUUUUUCAUUUUCUGUACAGUAAAUUGCACUUGGUUGUGUGCUUGUUUCAAAGGGACUAGUAGAGUCCCUGCUUAUUGCAUUUAGUAUGGAAACCUAUGCUUUUAUGAACUGCUGUACGGUGUUUACUUCAAUUCACAAACAGAUUGUUAGGGUAUUUAGAGAAUUCACAUGGAAUUAAAGCCAUUUUAUGUAUUAGCCGUGAGUAUAGCUAUAAUCUUAGCAUGUUAUUUUGUGCUAAUAUGUUCCUUUAAAGUCAAGACAAAAACAUAAAGAAGUCAUAUCUUUAAACUAUUCUCUCUGUGUAGUUGAUUGACCCUCAAACUUAAGCUGCAUCAGUCAGCCUGAUAUGAAUUACAUGUUGCAUAUUUCAUGCUUGCCUACUGAAUUAUAUUAACUGGCUUUGAAGUGAAGGAAAAUAUACUUAUAAAUCAACCAAUCUCAUGUAUAUCGAGUUUCUCAGUCAGCGGACAGUCAUCAAGAAUGCUGUGCAUCAUCUUAACCAAGAUUGGGUGUGUGUUGGUAUGAUGAGCACAGAUAUUGACACUUUGAGAGGCGUCUUGCUUUGAUAUGUCCAUCUAUGCCUUUGGGCUGAGGCUGGUCAACAUGAUGCCCACUGAUUCCCCAAAUUGAGCCUGCUUUAGAUUCAUCAAUCAUAAAUUGGGAAUGUGUCACCUUUGAAGUGCAAUUACAGUGCAUGAUGAGGUGGUGGAUUUUGUGAACUCGCUAUUUCACUACUCCACCCCAAUUUACUUUUGAGUAUGUAGACAAGUCAAGCUUAAUAGAUAACCAACAGAUUGGCCUGCUAUUUUAAAGAGGCAAAGGUUGGCUCUGUGUUGUUAGUGGGCCAGGUUCUAUUUUAUGUGCUGCUGUUAACAGCCUCUUUUGAAAAUGGUUUUGCUACGUUAAUGCAUUUUACAAACACAGUCAGUCAUUUACUGAAUUUGAGCAGCUUUUUCGACCGCAAGGACUGGGGACUAGGAACCUUUGGAGGAACCUUUGGAGGACCAGGGUCUAAAUUAAGUUCCGGGGACAUUAUUUUACCCCCCAAAAGGUCCCUGCUCAGGGGUAGUACGGGAACUUUCGGGGUGGGGCUUGCUGUACUGACCAUUUCUGAUUGGUCAAGCUCCGACUGGUGGAGCAGCAAGUGGUUUGACCGUCUGGAUCGAUGCGUUGUUGGGUCACAGGCCGGCCUUCUCUGGCGCAGCGGCUCAGCUACUGUGCUGCUGGAAGCUGUGGUGGAAGACACACGGAAACGGAUGACCAGUCGGUUGAAGUGUUUUUCAGAUGAAACGGACUGUUUAAGUGAACUGCAGGCUGCGGAGACCAGUGUGUUUACUCCUACAACCAAUAUCAGCCAUCGUCCCAUGUCUCCUGCUGAAGCACACAAACGCUGUAUUUUGCACAUUUAUUUUUCUGCACAUUAAUAAAUAGUUGUGGAACUAAAUGUGUGUAUAGUGGCUGUUCUCUGAAAACAAGUAUAUAUUACUGUAUAUGUAAAAAGACUCGUAAUGCUUAUUAAUAUUUACAACGCUCUGAGGAUGUAGUGGCUGUCAGUUUCACCAUUAUACACCGGUAAGCUCAGUAUUUAAAACAGGUGAGAGUGCAUAGGUUAAGAUAAGCAAAGGUCCUUGCUGACCUGCUGAAUUGCAGGUGAUGUGUUUAGUAAGUUAAAACAAUAGUUGCAGCUGUGUGAUGGGCGUAACCUAAUGGGUGUAAUUUGCCUAAUCUUCCCGGGUCUUUAGACUGCGGUGGAAACGCACACAACAAUGGGCAGAAGGAACUUUAUAGUUCCUUGAAAAGUUGUUCCUGGGGAUAAAAGUUCCUUGUACUUUUGGUGGAAAAGCAACUUUAAUGAAUAGCCUAGUGCCUCAAAAAUGUUGGCUUCAUUCAAGAUUCUGCACACAUGCAUUAUGCUUUCAUUUAAUCCCAAUCAUCCUGUUUUGAUCUGUAUCAGGGCCACUCUUAUUUUUGCAUCCAAAUGCCAUCAGUUCAUAUAAUGAAUAUGCCAUUCCUCUGCUUCAGUUACUUUGGCAUUGUUCCAUCCCCCACCCCCAACAAAAAGCUCUGUACUAUAUUCCCAUAUGGUCAUGAACACAUUCAUUCACAGUGCAAUGAUCACUGAAUGUGUCUUUAGAAUCACUGUGGUGUGUUGCAGCGAGUGCCCCCACAACUAUUCCUCUUUCCUGGUUCAAAGAUAAAUUAGCAGCUUCUAAAUAAUGCAGUGAACCCUAAUUCUCUUUGAUUAGUGGCAAGUUAGAUGAUAGCGACCCAUUGAAAUUGAUCAUCAGCAUAAAUAAUGACUGAAUGAACUGAUAAAAUGCAAAGUUGCUGGCCAUCAUAAAUCAAAUGAAAACCACUUGGUGUGGAAGUCAUUGGAAUUAGAAGUCCAUGCUCCUAUUAAUUAUGUUGCCUUGCUAAGGCGACAGUGUUAUAAAUCAGUUGUGAAAGGUACUCCAGCCGGCUGGCCUGCCUAGCAAGGCCUGCUGCCUGAAAAUGGCUCUGUACACCCCCCUAAUUGUUUCUUAAACAAGCCACCUCUAGAGGCUGAGGUUGAUGGACACAGUUUAAGAACAGAAUGGAAAAUGUAGGAGAAGGUUGCAUUGUAUAUAGUUUGCACAGUUACAUUAAAAUCCACAACAAGAACUCUUUAGUUUCAUCUAUGUUGUUUACCACAAAGUUAUUGUCAGUCUCUCAGACAAGAUUAUAUAAAGUUUCUCUUAUACAGCUUAAACUUUGUUCGAAAGUUUGUCCAGAAGAAGGCCAGAGUUUCUUGGUACUUUUAUCACAGCGUGUAUUCUGUCUGGCAGAAACACUGCAUGUUCUUGUAAAAUUUGGGUGUCAGAAUUAUUCCAUUAAGACUGUCUGAUGAUGCUACAGCAUGUUUCAUGCUGGAUGUUUUCAAAUGUUUCCAAAGACGUUCAGUGGAGUUGAUGUGAACUCUCCAUGCGAAGCUCAAAUGAGCUCGCUGGUUACAACUUAGGUUCAAACUCUGAUGCAUCUGUAAAAAUGUCUUUCUUCCAUUCUCCAGCAGUGACAUUGGUUAUGGUCAAAGAACUGAUUUUGAAACUACUACUCACAUUCAUUAACUGGAGCAGGAUAACAUUGCUCUGUUGGCUUUGGCUAGGGCUGUCACGGUAUUAGAUUUUCAAUACACGAUUAUCAUGGCCAAAAGAAUUCACAAUAACGAUAUUAUUGCGAUAUCUAUAGAAAAUUUGGAAAAAAGUUACCUAGCUAAAACCUAGCUAGUUACUGUGUCGUCUUCUGUUUUUCAUUUUAUGGCAGGUGGCAACCAGCAUUAAGGUGCAUUACCGCCACCUACUAUGACAAAGUGAGAAUGGAAAGAAAAGGAAAUGAUUUAAGAGGCACUGGAUUAUUUACACUAUAUUAUCAUAUGUGUAUUAUUAACAUGAUAUCAAUAUUUAAUUUAUACAAUUAAAUAUAUAUAUAUAUAUAAUAUAAUACCGUCAAUAUUGGUAUAUCGCGACACCCCUAGCUUUGGCCAACAAGUCCUUUUUCAACUUAAAACACUUGUAGUAGCAAUUACAACAGAAGACCUACUAAUUGAGUCAGUAUUUGCUGUUAGUCUUUGAAAAACCUGAACAAUUUAUUCUAUGUAUGAUAACUACAAAGAAUAUGGAGCUUAUUCCCAGAUCAAAUGUAUGUUGAAGGGCCUUGAAUAUUGUCUUCUGUAAUUGUAAUGUUAUGUUAAAUGUAUGUAUCUUUGUUUCUUGUCUUAUUUUUUGUCUUUUCUGUUCAGUUGCUAAUGGAGCUACUGUGAUGCAAGAAGAGUUUCAGACUUGAUCUGACAAUAAAGUAUUAUCAUCAUCAUGUAUACACAA